AACGAACGCUGGCGGCAUGCCUAACACAUGCAAGUCGAACGAAGGCUUCGGCCUUAGUGGCGCACGGGUGCGUAACGCGUGGGAAUCUGCCCCUCGGUUCGGAAUAACAGUUAGAAAUGACUGCUAAUACCGGAUGAUGACUUCGGUCCAAAGAUUUAUCGCCGAGGGAUGAGCCCGAUCGAGAUUAGGUAGUUGGUGGGGUAAAGGCCUACCAAGCCGACGAUCUUUAGCUGGUCUGAGAGGAUGAUCAGCCACACUGGGACUGAGACACGGCCCAGACUCCUACGGGAGGCAGCAGUGGGGAAUAUUGGACAAUGGGCGAAAGCCUGAUCCAGCAAUGCCGCGUGAGUGAUGAAGGCCUUAGGGUUGUAAAGCUCUUUUACCAGGGAUGAUAAUGACAGUACCUGGAGAAUAAGCUCCGGCUAACUCCGUGCCAGCAGCCGCCGUAA
Molecule: ribosomal RNA, 449 nt
Filed under: uncultured bacterium
Lineage: Bacteria
Description: partial 16S ribosomal RNA
Rfam family: Bacterial small subunit ribosomal RNA
Source: RNAcentral